GAUCAAAUCAAGCGCGAGAAGGGCGUUUGGUGGAUGCCUUGGCAGUAAGAGGCGAUGAAGGACGUGAUACUCUGCGAUAAGCCGUGAGGAGCCGAGAAUAGGCUUUGAUCCACGGAUUUCCGAAUGGGGCAACCCACCUGACAGUUGGAUAUAAUUGCCUUCGGGCAGCCUAUAUCGAGCUGAAACAGGUACUUAUAACCUGAACACAUAGGGUUUUAAGAGCAAACCCGGGGAACUGAAACAUCUAAGUACCCGGAGGAAAGGAAAUCAAUUGAUACUCCCCUAGUAGUGGCGAGCGAACGGGGACCAGCCGAGCCGUGAAUGUGACCAGAACAGUCUGGAAAGUCUGACCACAGCGGGUGACAGUCCCGUAUGGGAAGCAUGAUCGGACGUAUUAAGUAGGGCGGGACACGUGUAAUCCUGUCUGAAGAUCGGGGGACCACCCUCGAAGGCUAAGUACUCCUUACUGACCGAUAGCGAACCAGUACCGUGAGGGAAAGGUGAAAAGCACCCCGACGAGGGGAGUGAAACAGUACCUGAAACCGAGCGCCUACAAUCAGUCGGAGCUUGACUGGACUCUAAUGACAAUCUCGGUCAUCUAACCAUCAAAACAACGAUGGAGCAGGAUGAUGGAUGGGACAUUUGCAGUGCUUACCCUGGCACUCGGUCUCUGGGACAUGGCGGCGAACUACUGUCCGAAUGAUGGGUGUCUGGCCGACUACAACGGUCAGUCACGCUACAGCAUUUCGGCCGGUAACGUGAUGUUCCAGGACGAUACCAUCAGCAACGAGGUUUACAUCCGCAAGGAUACGGGCCGCUUCAAAGGGCCGUUCGAACUGGUCUACGGACUUUCCACCACCACGGAGGGAAGCACCUGGGCCGGCAUCGGCGCCGCCUGGACGAAGGAAAACUGGAGCCGGACGGCUUACGUCCAGCUUCACGUGAUGCCCGGCAUCUACCUGCACGGCGACGGCGCCGAUCUGGGUGGGCCGAUCGAGUUUCGAUCGGGCAUCGAAGCCGGCCUGCAAGCUAGAUCGGGAGCCCGCUUCGGGAUUUCCUACGAUCACAGGUCGAAUGCGGAUAUUUACGGAUACAACCCCGGAAUGGAGACGAUCCAGCUCCGGGUAAGUAUCCCGACCAACUAGGUUGUCAUCAGUGUCCAGUCUUGUGACGGCGUACCUUUUGUAUAAUGGGUCAUCGACUUGGUCUAUCCAGCAAGCUUAAGCCGUUAGGUGUAGGCGCAGCGAAAGCGAGUCUUAAUAGGGCGAUGAGUUGGAUGGAUCAGACCCGAAACCGAGUGAUCUAGGCAUGACCAGGAUGAAGGUAAGGUAACACUUACUGGAGGUCCGAACCCACACCUGUUGAAAAAGGUCGGGAUGAGUUGUGCCUAGGGGUGAAAGGCCAAUCAAACUCGGAGAUAGCUGGUUCUCCGCGAAAUCUAUUUAGGUAGAGCGUCAUCCGAAUACCCCGGGGGGUAGAGCACUGGAUGGGUAAUGGGGCCCCACAGGCUUACUGAUCCUAACCAAACUCCGAAUACCCGGGAGUACUAGAUGGCAGACACACUGCGGAUGCUAACGUCCGUAGUGAAGAGGGAAACAACCCUGACCUCCAGCUAAGGCCCCUAAUUCAUGGCUAAGUGGGAAAGCAGGUGAGACGGCCAAAACAACCAGGAGGUUGGCUUAGAAGCAGCCAUCCUUUAAAGAUAGCGUAACAGCUCACUGGUCUAAAUAAGCUGUCUUGCGGCGAAGAUGUAACGGGGCUCAAGCCAUGAGCCGAAGCUGAGGAUGCCGUAAGGCAUGGUAGCGGAGCGUAGUGUGACAUAGCUCCAUGUCUCCUUACUUCCUUCGGGAAGAUUGGAGACAAGGAGCUUUCUGUGAAGCCGGCGCGUGAGCGAUCCGGUGGAGAGAUCACUAGCGAGAAUGAUGACAUGAGUAGCGACAAAGAGUGUGAGAGACACUCUCGCCGAAAGUCCAAGGGUUCCUGCUUAAAGCUAAUCUGAGCAGGGUAAGCCGACCCCUAAGGCGAGGCCGAAAGGCGUAGUCGAUGGGAACCAGGUUAAUAUUCCUGGGCCAGGAGGACGUGACGGAUUGUGAAGGUUGUUCACCCUUAUCGGAUUGGGUGGGCCGCUGAUCAGUCCCUGGAAAUAGCCCUCCAUUAGAUCGUACCCUAAACCGACACAGGUGGACUGGUAGAGAAUACCAAGGCGCUUGAGAGAACGAUGUUGAAGGAACUCGGCAAAAUACCUCCGUAAGUUCGCGAGAAGGAGGCCCAGUUUCAACGCAAGUUUUGGCUGGGGGCACAAACCAGGGGGUGGCGACUGUUUACUAAAAACACAGGGCUCUGCGAAGUCGCAAGACGACGUAUAGGGUCUGACGCCUGCCCGGUGCCGGAAGGUUAAAAGGAGGGGUGAGAGCUCCGAAUUGAAGCCCCGGUAAACGGCGGCCGUAACUAUAACGGUCCUAAGGUAGCGAAAUUCCUUGUCGGGUAAGUUCCGACCUGCACGAAUGGCGUAACGACUUCCCCGCUGUCUCCAACAUCGACUCAGCGAAAUUGAAUUGCCUGUCAAGAUGCAGGCUUCCCGCGGUUAGACGGAAAGACCCCGUGCACCUUUACUACAGCUUCACACUGGCAUCAGGCACAACAUGUGCAGGAUAGGUGGUAGGCUUUGAAGCAGGGACGCUAGUUCCUGUGGAGCCAUCCUUGAGAUACCACCCUUGUUCUGCUUGAUGUCUAACCGCGAUCCCUCAUCGGGUUCCGGGACCCUGUGUGGCGGGUAGUUUGACUGGGGCGGUCGCCUCCUAAAGCGUAACGGAGGCGCGCGAAGGUUGGCUCAGAGCGGUCGGAAAUCGCUCGUUGAGUGCAAUGGCAGAAGCCAGCCUGACUGCGAGACUGACAAGUCGAGCAGAGUCGAAAGACGGCCAUAGUGAUCCGGUGGUCCCAAGUGGGAGGGCCAUCGCUCAACGGAUAAAAGGUACGCCGGGGAUAACAGGCUGAUACUGCCCAAGAGUCCAUAUCGACGGCAGUGUUUGGCACCUCGAUGUCGGCUCAUCUCAUCCUGGGGCUGGAGCAGGUCCCAAGGGUACGGCUGUUCGCCGUUUAAAGAGGUACGUGAGCUGGGUUUAGAACGUCGUGAGACAGUUCGGUCCCUAUCUGCCGUGGGUGUAGGAUACUUGAGAGGAGUUGCCCCUAGUACGAGAGGACCGGGGUGAACGAUCCACUGGUGGACCUGUUGUUGCGCCAGCAGCAGUGCAGGGUAGCUAUGAUCGGACAGGAUAACCGCUGAAGGCAUCUAAGCGGGAAGCCCCCCUCAAAACAAGGUAUCCCUGAGGGCCGUGGUAGACGACCACGUCGAUAGGCCGGAGAUGUAAGUGCAGCAAUGCAUUCAGUUGACCGGUACUAAUUGCCCGAUAGGCUUGAUUUGAUCCAG
This 3427-nucleotide ribosomal RNA is filed under the name Carideicomes alvinocaridis. RNAcentral describes it as "23S ribosomal RNA". It matches the Rfam family "Bacterial large subunit ribosomal RNA". The record is from RNAcentral. Lineage: Bacteria; Pseudomonadati; Pseudomonadota; Alphaproteobacteria; Rhodobacterales; Paracoccaceae.